RNAcentral lists this ribosomal RNA (253 nucleotides) under uncultured bacterium. RNAcentral describes it as "partial 16S ribosomal RNA". It matches the Rfam family "Bacterial small subunit ribosomal RNA", at positions 524 to 776 of the family's 1533-position model. The record is from RNAcentral.
UACAGAGGGGGCAAGCGUUAUUCGGAAUUAUUGGGCGUAAAGGGCGCGUAGGCGGCUUGGCAAGUGGAUGGUGAAAUCCCUCGGCUUAACCGAGGAACUGCCGUCCAAACUGCUUCGCUUGAGACCGGGAGAGGUGAGUGGAAUUCCCAGUGUAGCGGUGAAAUGCGUAGAUAUUGGGAGGAACACCAGUGGCGAAGGCGGCUACCUGGACCGGAACUGACGCUGAUGCGCGAAAGCGUGGGUAGCAAACAGG